RNAcentral lists this transfer RNA (75 nucleotides) under Mycetomoellerius zeteki. RNAcentral describes it as "Trachymyrmex zeteki tRNA". It matches the Rfam family "tRNA". Rfam says of the family: Transfer RNA (tRNA) molecules are approximately 80 nucleotides in length. Lineage: Eukaryota; Metazoa; Arthropoda; Insecta; Hymenoptera; Formicidae. The record is from Rfam by way of RNAcentral.
GUCUCGGUAGUCUAAUGGCUUAGGAUGCUCGUACGGAAUACAAGAGAUUCGGGUUCGAUUCUCCCGGCCGAGGUA